This 599-nucleotide ribosomal RNA is filed under the name Kocuria sp. CMT13. RNAcentral's name for it is "bacterial SSU rRNA". It matches the Rfam family "Bacterial small subunit ribosomal RNA", at positions 277 to 885 of the family's 1533-position model. The record is from RNAcentral. Lineage: Bacteria; Bacillati; Actinomycetota; Actinomycetes; Micrococcales; Micrococcaceae.
CGACGGGUAGCCGGCCUGAGAGGGUGACCGGCCACACUGGGACUGAGACACGGCCCAGACUCCUACGGGAGGCAGCAGUGGGGAAUAUUGCACAAUGGGCGGAAGCCUGAUGCAGCGACGCCGCGUGAGGGAUGACGGCCUUCGGGUUGUAAACCUCUUUCAGCAGGGAAGAAGCCACAAGUGACGGUACCUGCAGAAGAAGCGCCGGCUAACUACGUGCCAGCAGCCGCGGUAAUACGUAGGGSGCAAGCGUUGUCCGGAAUUAUUGGGCGUAAAGAGCUCGUAGGCGGUUUGUCGCGUCUGCUGKGAAAGCCCGGGGCUCAACCCCGGGUCUGCAGUGGGUACGGGCAGACUAGAGUGCAGUAGGGGAGACUGGAAUUCCUGGUGUAGCGGUGAAAUGCGCARAUAUCAGGAGGAACACCGAUGGCGAAGGCAGGUCUCUGGGCUGUUACUGACGCUGAGGAGCGAAAGCAUGGGGAGCGAACAGGAUUAGAUACCCUGGUAGUCCAUGCCGUAAACGUUGGGCACUAGGUGUGGGGGACAUUCCACGUUCUCCGCGCCGUAGCUAACGCAUUAAGUGCCCCGCCUGGGGAGUACGG